Molecule: long non-coding RNA, 2380 nt
Filed under: Homo sapiens (human)
Lineage: Eukaryota; Metazoa; Chordata; Mammalia; Primates; Hominidae
Description: HSALNT0018489
Source: RNAcentral
AAAAAAAAAAACAAACAAACAAAAAAAACAACAUGAGUUCAAAUCCUGAAAUGAGUUCAAAUUCUGACCCUGCUCUUAAUAGAUGUACGACCUUUGAUGCCUCAGUUUUGCUCAUUGGUAAAAUGGAGAUAGUAAUAUUAUUUAUCUCAUAUGGCUGUUUUGAAAGUUAGAUGUGUCUGUAUAGUGCUCAGCACAGAGCCUAGAACAGAAUAAGUAUCAGUAAAUAUUAGCUAUUACUAACUGGUAUGCUUAUGCCCCACUCUCUGGUAGCACUUACUGUAGAAUUGUGGCCAGGGAGGCAAGAAGUAAGAUAAUAGCUUGUCAAUGUUUCUGAGUACACAGCACUUAGGUCUCUAUUACAGCAGGCCAGUUGGGUGGUCAAGUACAUCCUUGGACUGCAACACAACAUGUGCACAGAUGGAAACUAGGAUUGAUUAACUCCUGAGCAUUCUGCAUUGGAAUUAAGGGGGAUGAUUAUUGGGUCUCCCCAAGUACACAAUUCCAUAUGAAUCUCUGUGGCUGUUAUUAAACUCUGGAUUGGAGGCUAGUUUCACCCAGGCGAUGAUAGAAAUUGGGGGUUGGGGGUUGGGUGUUGGGAGCUGGAGCAUGGAAUGUGUGAGACAGGAAAACAGUAUGGGUAGGGACGAAAAGCCAUUGAUAAAAACAGCCGUUUGCCCCCCUUCCCUUCCCUGCUUAGAUUCUGGAAGACUCAGAGCUCUCUGGUCUCUGCUGCUGUGUUGCUGCCUGUUAGCGUGAUUGUCGCUGUUGCCAGAUGAGGAGUAAGUACUGACACUAGAGAAAGAGCAGAAGGUGAAGCCAAGUAGCAGCUGACUGUAUCCAGCAUAUUUCAUUGUUCAUCUGAAAGCUGAGACUUUCCCAGCACACUUGUGGGGGAAUAUUCCACUUUUAAAUGGAAAGAAGCCAUAAAUGUCAGCUAGAAGAUACCUGGGAGAGGAUCCAAUAAGAUUCUUUAUUUCAGGGGUGAGGAGAGAUCAGAAGUUAAGUGCUUAUCAAAUUCAGAGAUACAACUACAGAUCUAACCUUGUAUGAAAGAGAGAUUGUCUCUUUAGUCCUCUAGCUUCCGCAUCUUUCAAUGUCCUUACCAUCGACCUUCAUCCUCUUGCCCUGCAAGAUGUUUCUGAAACUGCCUCCCCAGCUCUCCACAUGAUUCAGCCUCUUCACCCUGCCCUAACCCCUAAAUGGACCUGCAGUCAAUCUCUGGACUGCUUCCCAGAUGCAUACUUGGUUUCAAGGUCUUUAUUGGUUUGCUCUUGUUCAGUGAUUGUAUCCCCUCUCUCUGUCAAUAGAUGUUUCACUGACUGUAGCUAAAAUAAUUUUGUUUUGCCUUUUUUAUUCCCUCAUGUUCUGACUCCAUACUUCAUAUUAAUUACAGGAUUGGCCAUAAAGGGUACCCAGAGUAUACCUGGCAUGGCCCAUAAAGAUGAAAAAGUCCAUUGUUAGAUCAUUUUCAUUUGUUUAAAAUAACACCAAAUAAUUGACCUCUCAAAGGUCAACUCUAAUUUCAUUUAAAAAUCUAAAAUGAUAAGCCUAAAAUAUAUUUAAUGCUAUUUUAAAAUAUAUAUUUUCUUGAGGUACAUGAAAAUUAUAUAGGCUACUAUUUAUUGGUCAUUUGAUGCCAGAUACUGAACUAAAUGCUUCACAUAUGUCAUAAAGUAUUAUCCAUAAUACACCUGGAAAAGUAUCAUUAUCUUCAUCUAACACAAAUGGAAACAAAGGCUCAGAGAAGUUAAACAACUGUUCAAGGUUGCUUUUUCUAAUGAAUAGCUUGUGCUCUUGUUAUAAUAUCAAGUGGCCUCCGUCCAUUAUAUGCAACAGUUUUGGCUCUAAUUUUUAUCUUAGAUGUGAAUACAACAUAAUGAAUAUAUAAUGAAUUAGCAUUUUAUGAGUCUUGAGCAAAGCAACUGUUAGUUAUUUGUUACUGUGUAACAAAUUAUCACAACAUUUAGUUGCUUUAAAAAGCAAUUUUUAAAAAUAGUUUCUGUGGGCCAAUAAUCUGGGAAUGGCUUUACUGGAUUCUCUGGGUCAAGGUUUCUCACAAGGCUGCAAUCAGGGCUUCAAUUGGGUUGCAGUCAUCUCAAGCCUGCUUCCAAGUUCAACUGCUUCCAAAUUCACUCGUGUGGUUGUUGGUAGGCCUCAGUUUCUCACAUGCUGGUGAACUGAGGUCCUCAGAUCCUCCCUAGUUGUUGGCUGGUAGCUGCCUGUAGGGGGUUGAAUGGUCGCCCCCAAAGAUAAGAGGGCCUAUUCUCUGGAUCUGUGAAUGUUAUCUUGUAUGGUUUAUUAGUCUGUUCUCAUGCUGCUAAUAAAGACAUACCUGAGACUGGAUAAUUUAUAAAUAAAAGAGAGAUUUGAUGGACUCAUA